GACGUAGGGCGCGAGCGUUGUCCGGAUUUAUUGGGCGUAAAGAGCUCGUAGGCGGCUUGUCGCGUCGUCUGUGAAAUCCCGCGGCUCAACCGCGGGUCUGCAGUCGAUACGGGCAGGCUAGAGUUCGGUAGGGGAGACUGGAAUUCCUGGUGUAGCGGUGAAAUGCGCAGAUAUCAGGAGGAACACCGGUGGCGAAGGCGGGUCUCUGGGCCGAUGACUGACGUGAGGAGCGAAAGCGUGGGGGAG
RNAcentral lists this ribosomal RNA (246 nucleotides) under uncultured bacterium. RNAcentral describes it as "partial 16S ribosomal RNA". It matches the Rfam family "Bacterial small subunit ribosomal RNA", at positions 524 to 769 of the family's 1533-position model. The record is from RNAcentral.